GAUGAAAACAUAAAUGGAUUCCCAGAAUCAUAGUUGAGAUUACACAUUUAAAACAUAGGAAAGCAACACACCAAUAAUACCUGAGUUUAAACAUAUUGUUCAUUCAAACUAGAGAUUACACACUAAAUUAAAAAAAGAGCAACGCAUUAACAACUGAGUGACCACAUAGAAAAGCUAGCAACACACAUGAUCCACGAAGAACACAGUUUGAGAUUACACCAAACUAAGACAUAGAAGCAGAAGUCACACCUGAAUGAAAACAUAAGAACUCUUCUCAUGACUCUAGCAUUUCACAGCCAAAAUGCCACUGGAUCCAUACAGACGGAACCCAUUCUUGCUUCAUGAGGCAGGCUGUACCAACGACUCUGACCCUUGCAGCUUUUAAGCUUCAAACAGUCUCCUUUCGGGUCAGAACUGAGGUUGAAGGUCCUAAGAUGAUACAUACAGCGGCCGCCUUGGGGCCCACCUCCCACAAAAUCUGACAUAUCAUCCACAUCAUCCCCCAGCGGCUCAUUUGGUCCACUUCCAACAUGAACUACCACGGCGAAAAGGGAGUAACGUUUGGUGGUUUCUUUACCUUCAUUCUUGUCUGAGUUUCCAAUAGACUGAAGUAAAGACAAGUUUUUAUCACACAAUUACAUGAAAUUAAAAAGGUGAUAUAGCAACUCUAAAUGUAAAUAUCACAGUGAUAACAGACAAGAGGCCAAGGGACAACCAAGUCAAUUGCCCAGAAGUUCUACAUGAGGUACCGGGUGAUUUGCAGUACAUUAGGGUGGGUGUGUGUGCGUGCGGGGGGGGGGGGGGGGGGGCGCUGCUGCAAAACAAAGCACAACCACAUGCUUUAUCCUCAGCACUCAAAACUCUGUUGAGCUGAAGCUCUUUAGACGGUUAUUGAACUAUUCUGUUCAAUGUCUAGUAUCAGGUCAAAAAAUGUUUCAUCUCUAUGAGUC
This 950-nucleotide long non-coding RNA is filed under the name Panicum hallii. Its description in RNAcentral is "long non-coding RNA (PHAL_LNC000854)". Lineage: Eukaryota; Viridiplantae; Streptophyta; Magnoliopsida; Poales; Poaceae. The record is from RNAcentral.